Molecule: non-coding RNA, 511 nt
Filed under: Pan troglodytes (chimpanzee)
Lineage: Eukaryota; Metazoa; Chordata; Mammalia; Primates; Hominidae
Source: RNAcentral
GGCGGCCGCGGCUCCGCCCCGGGUUCCCACCGCCUGAAGGGCGAGACAAGCCCGACCUGCUACAGAUGUGGAAACAGGAAGAGAACUAGAACUGGAAGUAAGGCAUUGAAGAUGUGACUGAAUUGCUGCAAUCUCAUGAUCAAAUUUGAAUGGAUGAGGAGUUGCUUUUUAGGGAUGAGCAAAGAAAGUGGCUUCUCGAGAUGGAAUCUACUGGUGAAGUUGCUGUGAACAUUGUUAAAAUGCCAAUAAAGGAUUUAGGAAUUACAGAAACCUGGUUGAUAAAGCAGUGCCAGGGUGUGAGAGAGUUGACUUCAAUUUUGAAAUAAGUUCCACUGGCUGGGUGUGGUGGCUCACACCUGCAAUCCCAGCACUUUAGGAGGCCGAGACUGGUAGAUCACUUGAGGUCAGGAGUUCAAGACCAGCCUUGCCAACAUGGUGAAACCCCACCUCUACCAAAUUAGCCAGGUGUGGUGCACACCUGUAGUCCCAGCUACUUGGGAAGCUGAGGCAG